CGUAGGGUGCGAGCGUUGUCCGGAAUUAUUGGGCGUAAAGGGCUCGUAGGCGGUUUGUCACGUCGGGAGUGAAAACUCAGGGCUCAACCCUGAGCCUGCUUCCGAUACGGGCAGACUAGAGGUAUGCAGGGGAGAACGGAAUUCCUGGUGUAGCGGUGAAAUGCGCAGAUAUCAGGAGGAACACCGGUGGCGAAGGCGGUUCUCUGGGCAUUACCUGACGCUGAGGAGCGAAAGUGUGGGGAGCGAACAGGAUUAGAUACCCUGGUAGUCCACACCGUAAACGUUGGGCGCUAGGUGUGGGACUCAUUCCACGAGUUCCGUGCCGCAGCUAACGCAUUAAGCGCCCCGCCUGGGGAGUACGGCCGCAAGGCUA
RNAcentral lists this ribosomal RNA (373 nucleotides) under uncultured organism. Its description in RNAcentral is "bacterial SSU rRNA". It matches the Rfam family "Bacterial small subunit ribosomal RNA", at positions 526 to 896 of the family's 1533-position model. The record is from RNAcentral.